RNAcentral lists this ribosomal RNA (1386 nucleotides) under bacterium. RNAcentral's name for it is "bacterial SSU rRNA". It matches the Rfam family "Bacterial small subunit ribosomal RNA". The record is from RNAcentral.
GUCGAACGAUGAUGCCCAGCUUGCUGGGCGGAUUAGUGGCGAACGGCUGAGUAAUACGUGAGUAACCUGCCCUUGACUCUGGGAUAAGCCUGGGAAACUGGGUCUAAUACUGGAUACUACCUCUUACCGCAUGGUGGGUGGUGGAAAGGGUUUUACUGGUUUUGGAUGGGCUCACGGCCUAUCAGCUUGUUGGUGGGGUAAUGGCUCACCAAGGCGACGACGGGUAGCCGGCCUGAGAGGGUGACCGGCCACACUGGGACUGAGACACGGCCCAGACUCCUACGGGAGGCAGCAGUGGGGAAUAUUGCACAAUGGGCGGAAGCCUGAUGCAGCGACGCCGCGUGAGGGAUGACGGCCUUCGGGUUGUAAACCUCUUUCAGUAGGGAAGAAGCGAGAGUGACGGUACCUGCAGAAGAAGCGCCGGCUAACUACGUGCCAGCAGCCGCGGUAAUACGUAGGGCGCAAGCGUUGUCCGGAAUUAUUGGGCGUAAAGAGCUCGUAGGCGGUUUGUCGCGUCUGCUGUGAAAGCCCGGGGCUCAACCCCGGGUCUGCAGUGGGUACGGGCAGACUAGAGUGCAGUAGGGGAGACUGGAAUUCCUGGUGUAGCGGUGAAAUGCGCAGAUAUCAGGAGGAACACCGAUGGCGAAGGCAGGUCUCUGGGCUGUUACUGACGCUGAGGAGCGAAAGCAUGGGGAGCGAACAGGAUUAGAUACCCUGGUAGUCCAUGCCGUAAACGUUGGGCACUAGGUGUGGGGGACAUUCCACGUUUUCCGCGCCGUAGCUAACGCAUUAAGUGCCCCGCCUGGGGAGUACGGCCGCAAGGCUAAAACUCAAAGGAAUUGACGGGGGCCCGCACAAGCGGCGGAGCAUGCGGAUUAAUUCGAUGCAACGCGAAGAACCUUACCAAGGCUUGACAUUCACCGGACCGCCCCAGAGAUGGGGUUUCCCUUCGGGGCUGGUGGACAGGUGGUGCAUGGUUGUCGUCAGCUCGUGUCGUGAGAUGUUGGGUUAAGUCCCGCAACGAGCGCAACCCUCGUUCUAUGUUGCCAGCACGUGAUGGUGGGGACUCAUAGGAGACUGCCGGGGUCAACUCGGAGGAAGGUGGGGAUGACGUCAAAUCAUCAUGCCCCUUAUGUCUUGGGCUUCACGCAUGCUACAAUGGCCGGUACAAAGGGUUGCGAUACUGUGAGGUGGAGCUAAUCCCAAAAAGCCGGUCUCAGUUCGGAUUGAGGUCUGCAACUCGACCUCAUGAAGUCGGAGUCGCUAGUAAUCGCAGAUCAGCAACGCUGCGGUGAAUACGUUCCCGGGCCUUGUACACACCGCCCGUCAAGUCACGAAAGUUGGUAACACCCGAAGCCGGUGGCCUAACCCCUUGUGGGAGGGAGC